GCCUCGGCAUCAGCGUGCUC
RNAcentral lists this small nuclear RNA (20 nucleotides) under Arabidopsis thaliana (thale cress). RNAcentral describes it as "snRNA_06641". The record is from RNAcentral. Lineage: Eukaryota; Viridiplantae; Streptophyta; Magnoliopsida; Brassicales; Brassicaceae.